RNAcentral lists this ribosomal RNA (639 nucleotides) under Salmonella enterica subsp. enterica serovar Infantis. Its description in RNAcentral is "partial 23S ribosomal RNA". It matches the Rfam family "Bacterial large subunit ribosomal RNA", at positions 2164 to 2802 of the family's 2925-position model. RNAcentral also lists the same sequence under 40 other names. The record is from RNAcentral. Lineage: Bacteria; Pseudomonadati; Pseudomonadota; Gammaproteobacteria; Enterobacterales; Enterobacteriaceae.
GUGGACGCCAGUCUGCAUGGAGCCGACCUUGAAAUACCACCCUUUAAUGUUUGAUGUUCUAACGUGGACCCGUAAUCCGGGUUGCGGACAGUGUCUGGUGGGUAGUUUGACUGGGGCGGUCUCCUCCUAAAGAGUAACGGAGGAGCACGAAGGUUGGCUAAUCCUGGUCGGACAUCAGGAGGUUAGUGCAAUGGCAUAAGCCAGCUUGACUGCGAGCGUGACGGCGCGAGCAGGUGCGAAAGCAGGUCAUAGUGAUCCGGUGGUUCUGAAUGGAAGGGCCAUCGCUCAACGGAUAAAAGGUACUCCGGGGAUAACAGGCUGAUACCGCCCAAGAGUUCAUAUCGACGGCGGUGUUUGGCACCUCGAUGUCGGCUCAUCACAUCCUGGGGCUGAAGUAGGUCCCAAGGGUAUGGCUGUUCGCCAUUUAAAGUGGUACGCGAGCUGGGUUUAGAACGUCGUGAGACAGUUCGGUCCCUAUCUGCCGUGGGCGCUGGAGAACUGAGGGGGGCUGCUCCUAGUACGAGAGGACCGGAGUGGACGCAUCACUGGUGUUCGGGUUGUCAUGCCAAUGGCACUGCCCGGUAGCUAAAUGCGGAAGAGAUAAGUGCUGAAAGCAUCUAAGCACGAAACUUGCCCCGA